GAUGAACGCUGGCGGCGUGCCUAAUACAUGCAAGUCGAGCGAACAGACGAGGAGCUUGCUCCUCUGACGUUAGCGGCGGACGGGUGAGUAACACGUGGAUAACCUACCUAUAAGACUGGGAUAACUUCGGGAAACCGGAGCUAAUACCGGAUAAUAUAUUGAACCGCAUGGUUCAAUAGUGAAAGACGGAUGUGCUGUCACUUAUAGAUGGAUCCGCGCCGCAGUAGCUAGUUGGUAAGGUUACGGCUUACCAAGGCCACGAUGCCUAGCCGACCCGAGAGGGUGAGCGGGCACGCCGGAAUUGGGACACGGUCCAGGCCCCGACUGGUGGGGGCGGUAGGGGAUGUUCCGCCAAGGGCGAGAGCCUUACCGUGCGGCCGCGGGGUAGUGAUGGAGGUUCUCGGAUUCGAAAUCUAUUCUACUUGGGAAGAACAAAUGUGUAAGUAACUAUGCACGUCUUGACGGUACCUAAACAGAAAGCCACGGCUAACUACGUG
Molecule: ribosomal RNA, 497 nt
Filed under: uncultured bacterium
Lineage: Bacteria
Description: partial 16S ribosomal RNA
Rfam family: Bacterial small subunit ribosomal RNA
Source: RNAcentral